CACGUAGGGGACGAGCGUUGUCCGGAUUCACUGGGCGUAAAGCGCACGUAGGCGGCUUUCUAAGUCAGGGGUGAAAUCCUGGAGCUCAACUCCAGAACUGCCUUUGAUACUGGAGGGCUUGAGUCCGGAAGAGGUGAGUGGAACUCCGAGUGUAGAGGUGAAAUUCGUAGAUAUUCGGAAGAACACCAGUGGCGAAGGCGGCUCACUGGUCCGGUACUGACGCUGAUGUGCGAAAGCGUGGGGAGCAAACAGG
This 253-nucleotide ribosomal RNA is filed under the name uncultured bacterium. RNAcentral's name for it is "partial 16S ribosomal RNA". It matches the Rfam family "Bacterial small subunit ribosomal RNA", at positions 524 to 776 of the family's 1533-position model. The record is from RNAcentral.